Molecule: long non-coding RNA, 3364 nt
Organism: Labrus mixtus (cuckoo wrasse)
Lineage: Eukaryota; Metazoa; Chordata; Actinopteri; Labriformes; Labridae
Exons: 2
Source: RefSeq, a predicted model, not a curated record
AUUUGAUGUACCUGCAGCUUCUCGCUGUUGCUCCUCUUCUGUUUGUGUGUGUAUGUGUCAGCUCGCGCCUGCAACAUGCACACACACACGCACAGACACACACACACAGACACACACACACACACACUGGAACGCCAGCCAUCGCGCGCAUCUAUUUACUUUUAGCGCAACACAGUCCGUGAUCUGUAUGGACCUUGAUAUCUACUGUCGAUAUGGACCAAGUCUUGAUGCUCGGGAGGGUACAUAAUCCAGUCAAGCGGCCGUUUCGACUAUUCCCCGUUCUCUCUCACUGUGUCUGCAUACUGUAUUUAUCAACAAUCAGUACAUUGAAAUUGGUAGGCUGUUAUCUCACAGCCUGCUGUAGUCUGGGAACGUCUUCACACACACUGUAAAAAAAAGUGGGAGCAAGGGUGGCCUGGGCACUAGGCAUGAUACCUUUUUAGAAAAUAAAUAAAGGUGAGCUAAUUUAUAUUUAAAAAUGUCUCAAUUUCCUGACAUGAUCUAAUAAAAUGACCCAAAUCAGUGAUCUGAUCUAAUGGAACACACCAUUAAACAGAAUUCAGUCAAAUAAAAAUGGAAAAAACUGAAUUUAGGAAAAAUAAACAAAACAGAGUCAGUCACACUGGUACUGUUAUUUUAUUUUAAGAAGUAGGCUAAAUAAAAUCAAAUAAUCAAUCAUGAUUUGUGUAACUGUAACUAAUUAUUACUCUGUUAAAAUGGCAUUUCAUUUGGUGAAGAGAGUUAAUGACUUGUUUAGGACUCGAAAUUCAAAGAUUAGGACUUUUGACUCGACUUGAGACUUGCCAGUCUUUACUUGGGACUUGACUCGGGACUUGAGACCAAAGACUUGCAAAGCAAUGACUUUGUCCCACCUCUGGUUGAUACAGACGAUUAGUACGGAUCCCUGUGUUGUGUAUGUUCACUGUAUAAAGAAUGUACACUCUCAAUAAGUAAAACUAAUUAGGCUUGUGAUUAUUAUUGUUGUCAUGGAUACUUGUCGGGCCAAUGUAUCUGACAAUUUACUUAAAAAAAAAAGUUAUCUACAAAUUUAAGUGACCAGAGAGAUGUGGAAAUCCUGGUAUUCCACACACUUAGAUGAUACAAUCAGACUUAAUGAGGCUUAGAAAAAAGCUAGACAUAAACAUUUUCCAGGAAACAUGCAAUCAAUAGUCCUUACACACAGAGUAUCUGCUGUAUGCUGACAUUGCAUUUGGACACUGAGCUUUACAAUGAAGGUGUUGCUUGCUUUUUCCAGUGUGUGAUGAUAGUUACGAUUAACACAAUCCAAGAGUAAAGCUGAAUGAUGUGUAAACUCCUCGUCUGUCCUCGGACUGUCUUCCCUUAGCGCUUCCAGGAGACCAGCAUGGCCCUCCACCUUUUCAAACAGAAUGAACAUUUGCGAACUGACUGUCUGAAUGACCUUCUAACCUUUCUUUUAGAUAGACAGGCUGAUAGAUAUUUGAAAGAGAGAGUAUAACUUUCUUAAAUCCCGGGAGGGAAAUUGUGUUGUUGUAGCAACAAAAACUGGACAUUACAUUAAAGAACAACAAGAGGAAGUAGCACACAAAACACACUAAAGGCUAAAAGAUACUAAACAACUGAGGUCAGUAAGUUGCAGAGAAUACAUAAAAUGAUAUAAACAAGAUUGCAGAGUAAUGAUAAUAUUAAGACACAUACUAGGUAACUAUACGUGCAAUGUUCUAAAAUAUGAGGGUGGGAGACUUUGUCCAUUACUGAGAACAGUUUAGCCAGUAUUCUGGCCUCAACCAUCUUAUCCAACCUGACAUGCAGACUCAGCCUUCUUGAUCAGUGUGUUUACAUCUUUUACUUUGGUGCCCAGGGCCCACUAACCAGCACACAACAGCAAAGAUGUACAAGAGUAUAAGUAUCUUGGCACAAUAACUGACAACAAACUGACAUGCAACGCCAGCACAAAUGCAAGGUAUGCAAAGGCUCAACAGCGCUUCUAUUUUUUGAAAUUUUAAUGUUGGCAGCACUAUGCUGAAACUAUUUUACAAGACUGUUAUUGAAAGUGUGCUGACCUUUUGUAUUCAGUGUUGGGGAGGAGCACUGUCCUUACAAAAUGAGAACAAACUGGAAAAGGUUGUUAAACUAGGCAGCAAGAUAACUGGGAAGCAAAUGUACAUAAUUUCUUUCCUAACAGACCGGUACACAUUGAAUUUAGCCAUCAAGAUCACAGCUGACCCUCUGCACCCCCUUUGGUCAGAGUAUGAACUCUUGACUUCAGGGCGCAGGUACAGAAUGCCCAGGAUGAGGACUAAAAGAGGCAUUACAUCCUUUGUUCCACACAGUAUUCAGCUUCUUAAUAAGCUCUGAUUAUACAGGACGAACUCGGCACUCUGCACUUUAUUUAACUUGCUGAAAUACCUAAUUUAACCAGGUGAUACUUUAGUGUGUUUUUAUGUGCUGUCCUGUAAAUGUUUGUUUGUAUUGUGUUUUUUUAUGCUCUCUGUGCAAGGCAAAUUCAUUAAAGGAAGGGCAUUAAAGGUUUCAUUCAUGAUGCUCACAACAACAGACUGAUUGUGUAAGUUUAGGUGCACCAAUCCAGUUUGUCGUCCAGUUUUACACCUACAAGUCAGUCCCACUAAUGCAGACAGGGAAAGGAGAGGAUUUAUUCCUUUUUAGGUCUACCACAAUCUCCUUUGUCUUGUUCACAAUCAGCUGUUGGUGAUUCUCCCCACACACCCUCAUGAACCACUCCACCAGGCCCUGAUACUCCUCCUUCUGUCCAUCUUCAAUACACCCAACGAUAGAAGUUUCAUCGGAGUAUAUUUUAAGAUGACAUGAGUUGGAGUUGUAUUUGAAGUCAGAUCUGCAGAUGGUAAAGAGGAGAGGAGGUAGGACUGUUCCAUGCGGGACUCCAACAUUACUCACCAGAUUGUCAGACACCCAGCUCUGCAGCCUCACAAACUGUGGCUUACCUAUGAGGUAUUCUAUGAUCCAUGAGACCAAGGGGGUUUGCACCAGCAUGUCCUCCAGCUUCUCUCUCACUAGCAUGGGCUUGACGGUAUUAAAGACGCUCGAGAAGUCAAGGAACAUGAUCCACACUGAUGUGUUGGCUCUAUCCAGGGAGGAGUAUGAUCUCUGCAGCAGCUAUAUGAAGGUGUCAUCCACACCCACGUGCGGGCGAAAUGCAAACUGCAGAGGGUCUUGUGAGGAGCAUACAGCUGGUCUGAGGUGUGGUAAGACCAGCCUCUAGAUAACCUUUAUUAGAUGAGAGGUUAGUUACCCAUGUUGCAGAGGGGCCUUAAGACGCUACACAGCUGGUAAGCAAAGACUAAGUCAUGUUUGCACAUUAGAUUGUGUAAUCACUUCAGCCUUUGCAGUGAAGGGAUCAUUUACU